GACGAACGCUGGCGGCGUGCUUAACACAUGCAAGUCGAACGGAAAGGCCCUGCUUUUGUGGGGUGCUCGAGUGGCGAACGGGUGAGUAACACGUGAGUAACCUGCCCUUGACUUUGGGAUAACUUCAGGAAACUGGGGCUAAUACCGGAUAGGAGCUCCUGCUGCAUGGUGGGGGUUGGAAAGUUUCGGCGGUUGGGGAUGGACUCGCGGCUUAUCAACUUGUUGGUGGGGUAGUGGCUUACCAAGGCUUUGACGGGUAGCCGGCCUGAGAGGGUGACCGGCCACAUUGGGACUGAGAUACGGCCCAGACUCCCACGGGAGGCAGCAGUGGGGAAUAUUGCACAAUGGGCGGAAGCCUGAUGCAGCAACGCCGCGUGCGGGAUGACGGCCUUCGGGUUGUAAACCGCUUUCGCCUGUGACGAAGCGUGAGUGACGGUAAUGGGUAAAGAAGCACCGGCUAACUACGUG
This 468-nucleotide ribosomal RNA is filed under the name uncultured bacterium. Its description in RNAcentral is "partial 16S ribosomal RNA". It matches the Rfam family "Bacterial small subunit ribosomal RNA", at positions 28 to 507 of the family's 1533-position model. The record is from RNAcentral.